GAUGAACGCUGGCGGCGUGCCUAAUACAUGCAAGGCGAGCGAAUGGAUUAAGAGCUUGCUCUUAUGAAGUUAGCGGCGGACGGGUGAGUAACACGUGGGUAACCUGCCCAUAAGACUAGGAUAACCCCGGGAAACCGGGGCUAAUACCGGAUCACAUUUUAAACCGCAAGUGUCGAACCUUACAGGCGGCCUGGGCUCUCACUUAUGGAUGGACCCGCGUCGCAUUAGCGAGUUGGUGAGGUAACGGCUCACCAAGGCAACGAUGCGUAGCCGUAGUGAGAGGGUGAUCGGCCAAACUGGGACUGAGACACGGCCUAGACUCCUACGGGAGGCAGCAGUAGGGAAUCUGCCGCAAUGGACGAAAGUCUGACGGAGCAACGCCGCGUGAGUGAUGAAGGCUUUCGGGUCGUAAAACUCUGUUGUUAGGGAAGAACAAGUGCUAGUUGAAUAAGCUGGCACCUUGACGGUACCUAACCAGAAAGCCACGGCUAUCUACGUGCCAGCCGCCGCGGUAA
Molecule: ribosomal RNA, 515 nt
Filed under: uncultured bacterium
Lineage: Bacteria
Description: partial 16S ribosomal RNA
Rfam family: Bacterial small subunit ribosomal RNA
Source: RNAcentral